GGGACUAAAUGUUUUGUCCCGGUUAGUAAUACCAACUAGAAUGAAAUGUUUUGUCCUGGUUGGAAUUACCAACUGGGAUGAAAGGGGAGCUUUUAUCCUGGUUGGAAUUUCCAACCGGAACAAAAGGGGCUGUCCACGCAGCCCCCCUCUCUUUCCACCUUAUUUAUUUUCUUCCAGGCAGCGCUCUCCUCCUCUCCACCUUAUCUUCUCCGACGCUUCCUCUUUCAAAGGCGCUUUCCCUUCUCCCUCUCC
RNAcentral lists this long non-coding RNA (252 nucleotides) under Setaria viridis. Its description in RNAcentral is "long non-coding RNA (SVIR_LNC007631)". Lineage: Eukaryota; Viridiplantae; Streptophyta; Magnoliopsida; Poales; Poaceae. The record is from RNAcentral.